CAAUAUCAAUUGAACUUAACAUAUUACUAUCUAAUAAUUUAUAUAGUCAACGACAAUUGGACUUAAGAGUCAUCGACACAAUAUCUAAACCAUCUCAAAAUUCCAAUUUAUUGAAAAUUCAACAUUUGAGAAUGCGACGGGCUUAUAAAAUAAGGGUCUAGUAUCCCAUUUUUAAGCAUAAUUAUAUAUAUUUUUCUUCUUUUUGUUUUAUCUAAAACAAGUAACUUCAACAGAGUUAC
RNAcentral lists this long non-coding RNA (239 nucleotides) under Trifolium pratense (red clover). RNAcentral's name for it is "long non-coding RNA (TPRA_LNC009930)". Lineage: Eukaryota; Viridiplantae; Streptophyta; Magnoliopsida; Fabales; Fabaceae. The record is from RNAcentral.